Malaclemys terrapin pileata is the source of this 306-nucleotide long non-coding RNA. RefSeq lists it as uncharacterized. The record is from RefSeq and is a predicted model, not a curated record. The transcript is spliced from 2 exons. Lineage: Eukaryota; Metazoa; Chordata; Testudines; Emydidae.
AAACGCCGUGGUGGUUCCUGUUACCUUAGGGGAUGUCCCUCUAAUUCUAUGUACCUUGGAAAAUGCUGGAUUGGCUCUUGCUGUCAAAGGUUUAUCAACUGAUUGUCUAGGCAGGAUCUCUGGGAAUCUGGCAGAGAUCCACUUGCUUCUAAAAUCAUCAGAUCCUGGUUCAAUGGAACCCUGACGUGCUGCUUAUUUGGGAUAUAAAUAACCUUGUGAGCUGGAGAAAUUCCAGAAAGAAGCUCUUGUAUCACCAUAUAACAUUUGUUACUCUUCUUUUAAUAAAAGCAAGCUGGUUUAAGAUCA